AGAAUCAACGCUGGCGGCGUGCCUCAGACAUGCAAGUCGAACGCGAAAGUCCCCUUCGGGGGGCGAGUAGAGUGGCGCACGGGUGAGUAACACGUAGGUAAUCUACCUUUGGAUGGGGAAUAACAACCGGAAACGGUUGCUAAUACCGCAUAAUGCAGCGGCACCUAAUGGUGACAGUUGUUAAAGCGGGGGAUCGAAAGACCUCGCGUCUGAAGAGGAGCCUGCGGCGGAUUAGCUAGUUGGUAAGGUAACGGCUUACCAAGGCGACGAUCC
Molecule: ribosomal RNA, 273 nt
Filed under: uncultured soil bacterium
Lineage: Bacteria
Description: partial 16S ribosomal RNA
Rfam family: Bacterial small subunit ribosomal RNA
Source: RNAcentral